AAGCAUGGAGGUAAGCCAAUGCACAAGCAGUUUCUACAGCAAUAUUCAUGCGGAUAGGCCAUGGGAGGAAUCCGUCCUUUGCUCUAUCCCCAUUCAGGUGAUCUGCCACUGUUCCAUUGGGAAUGUAUUCAUAAACAAGGAGGAGUUCACGGCUAUGCUUUGAUGUGCAACCAUAAAGGGUAACAAGAUUUCGAUGCCGUAGGCGAGAGAGAAUUUCAAUUUCAUUUUUAAACUGUUCCAUUCUCUUGCAAUUGUGCUCGUAA
This 263-nucleotide unclassified non-coding RNA is filed under the name Hevea brasiliensis (rubber tree). The record is from RNAcentral. Lineage: Eukaryota; Viridiplantae; Streptophyta; Magnoliopsida; Malpighiales; Euphorbiaceae.